GUGGGGAAUAUUGGGCAAUGGGCGAAAGCCUGACCCAGCAACGCCGCGUGAAGGAAGAAGGUCUUCGGAUCGUAAACUUCUAUCCUUGGUGAAGAUAAUGACGGUAGCCGAGAAGGAAGCCCCGGCUAACUACGUGCCAGCAGCCGCGGUAAUACGUAGGGGGCAAGCGUUGUCCGGAAUGAUUGGGCGUAAAGGGCGCGUAGGCGGCCUGGUAAGUCUGGAGUGAAAGUCCUGCUUUUAAGGUGGGAAUUGCUUUGGAUACUGUCGGGCUUGAGUGCAGGAGAGGUAAGUGGAAUUCCCGGUGUAGCGGUGAAAUGCGUAGAGAUCGGGAGGAACACCAGUGGCGAAGGCGAUCUGCUGGACAGCAACUGACGCUGAGGCGCGAAAGCGUGGGGAGCAAACAGGAUUAGAUACCCUUGUAGUCC
This 425-nucleotide ribosomal RNA is filed under the name uncultured bacterium. Its description in RNAcentral is "partial 16S ribosomal RNA". It matches the Rfam family "Bacterial small subunit ribosomal RNA", at positions 354 to 796 of the family's 1533-position model. The record is from RNAcentral.